AUUUAAAUGGAGCUAAAUGAAAUGAAAAUCCAAUUCUCAUUUAAAGAGACAAAACCAUUUUGUUCUCAUCCUAAUUUGGGCCAAAAUGCAAUAACCUCAACUUUUUGGGCUAUGUUGCAAAACUUAAACUUUUGAGCUCAUUUUGUAAAAACACAAAAGUCCACUACUUCAUGUAAUCACAACUAGAACCCAAAAAUUUCAACAAAUUGAAAAACAUCAUUAAAGGAACAAAACAAUUUGUCCUUUAAUGAUUUUGGGCCUUUACGUAAAUACGUAAACUUUUGGGCCAAAGUUGCAAAUACACAAAAGUACCAAAACUUUAUGUAAUUGCAUAAAAGCCCCAAAAGCACCCCACUUGUAGGGUGGCCGGUUUUAGAUAGAGUGAGGAAUGCAAAAUUUUGAAAUUUUUCAACAAAGUCAUAAAGUCAUGCAAGUGGUGUGUGUGACAUAAAUUCAUGCAAGUGGUGCGUGUGUAAGAGAAGUACUUCUUACGCACCCAUCACCAUUUCUAUCACCUUUCAAAAUUUCAAUCACAUUAAAACAUUUGAUAAAGCACAAAACAAAGACUUUAUGAAAUAAAUCAAAACUUUGAAUCAAAACACCAAACUUUUUGUUCUUGGCUAAAAUGUCAAGAACAAUGAAGAACAUUCAUGAAAAACCCAUAAAAGCUUCAUGAACAUUUUUCAUCCAAAGACAUCCCAAAAACACUCAAACUUAAGGGAAAUAACAUAUAACCAAACUAGGGUACAUAGGGGUUCCAAAAGUUACUUGAAAACACUUUUAACAAGUCAAACAUGAACCCAAAAAUCCACCCUUUGGAUUUGGCCGAAAAUUCCCCAAAAACAUGGCACCAAAUUUUAGCUCCAA
This 867-nucleotide long non-coding RNA is filed under the name Malus domestica (apple). RNAcentral describes it as "long non-coding RNA (MDOM_LNC005619)". The record is from RNAcentral. Lineage: Eukaryota; Viridiplantae; Streptophyta; Magnoliopsida; Rosales; Rosaceae.